RNAcentral lists this ribosomal RNA (460 nucleotides) under uncultured bacterium. RNAcentral's name for it is "partial 16S ribosomal RNA". It matches the Rfam family "Bacterial small subunit ribosomal RNA", at positions 338 to 795 of the family's 1533-position model. The record is from RNAcentral.
CCUACGGGAGGCAGCAGUGAGGAAUAUUGGUCAAUGGACGGAAGUCUGAACCAGCCAUGCCGCGUGCAUGAAGACGGCUCUAUGAUUUGUAAACUGCUUUUGUGCAAGGGUAAACCUGAAUACGUGUAUUCAGCUGAAUGUACUGUACGAAUAAGGAUCGGCUAACUCCGUUCCAUCAGCCGCGGUAAUACGGUGGGUCCAAUCGUUGACCGGAUUUUUUGGGUUUAAAGGGUACGUAGGCGGUUUGGUAAGUUAGAGGUGAAAUGUCCGAGCUUAACUCGGGAACUGCCUGUGAUACUGUUGAUCUAGAGAGUAGGUGCGGUAGGCGGAAUGUAAGGUGUAGCGGUGAAAUGCUUAGAGAUCAUACAGAACACCGAUGGCGAAGGCAGCUUCCCAGUCUAUAUCUGACGUUGAGGCACGAAAGCGUGGGGAGCAAACAGGAUUAGAUACCCGAGUAGUC